CCAGACUCCUACGGGAGGCAGCAGUGGGGAAUAUUGCACAAUGGGGGAAACCCUGAUGCAGCGACGCCGCGUGAGUGAAGAAGUAUUUCGGUAUGUAAAGCUCUAUCAGCAGGGAAGAAAAUGACGGUACCUGAUUAAGAAGCCCCGGCUAACUACGUGCCAGCAGCCGCGGUAAUACGUAGGGGGCAAGCGUUAUCCGGAUUUACUGGGUGUAAAGGGAGCGUAGACGGUAAUGCAAGUCUGGAGUGAAAUGCAGGGGCUCAACCCCUGAACUGCUUUGGAAACUGUAUGACUGGAGUGCAGGAGAGGUAAGUGGAAUUCCUAGUGUAGCGGUGAAAUGCGUAGAUAUUAGGAGGAACACCAGUGGCGAAGGCGGCUUACUGGACUGUAACUGACGUUGAGGCUCGAAAGCGUGGGGAGCAAACAGGAUUAGAUACCCCCGUAGAG
RNAcentral lists this ribosomal RNA (447 nucleotides) under uncultured bacterium. RNAcentral's name for it is "bacterial SSU rRNA". It matches the Rfam family "Bacterial small subunit ribosomal RNA", at positions 331 to 793 of the family's 1533-position model. The record is from RNAcentral.